GAGUUUGAUCGUGGCUCAGGACGAACGCUGGCGGCGCGCCUAACACAUGCAAGUCGAACGGAGUUAUUCUGAAUGAAGUUUUCGGAUGGAUUUUGGAUUAACUUAGUGGCGAACGGGUGAGUAACGCGUGAGUAACCUGCCCUGGAGUGGGGACGAACAGUUGGAACGACUGCUAAUACCGCAUAAGCCACGGUGCCGCAUGGCACAGUGGUAAAACUACCGGUGGUAUGAGAUGGACCGCGU
RNAcentral lists this ribosomal RNA (243 nucleotides) under uncultured bacterium. Its description in RNAcentral is "partial 16S ribosomal RNA". It matches the Rfam family "Bacterial small subunit ribosomal RNA", at positions 9 to 236 of the family's 1533-position model. The record is from RNAcentral.